RNAcentral lists this transfer RNA (66 nucleotides) under Pycnogonum diceros. Its description in RNAcentral is "tRNA-Gln". The record is from RNAcentral. Lineage: Eukaryota; Metazoa; Arthropoda; Pycnogonida; Pantopoda; Pycnogonidae.
AUAUAGUUUGGUGUAUUGCACGUUUAAUUUUGAUUUAUUAGGGAUGGUUUAUACCAUAAGCUGUAA